UUUUAAAAAAAAUUACAUCCUCUUCUGCCAAAAUCAUUUCAUAAGACAUCACAAAACCUUUGGAAUAAUAAUUCCAUGAAUGAAGAAUCCUAAUUUGAAUAUACCAAGAGGUUUUGAAAGGUUUUAACUUUUUGAUAGGUGUGUAUGUGAGAAGGUACAGACAUCGUGAUAGUAAUCUGCUUAUUUAUAAUUUCAACUUGCAAUAUACCGCAGGUAAGCUUAUAUUUUAGUUAAACUAAAAUUUUUUAUUGUAAAGAUGAUUAUAAAUAUAUGAUAUUAUUUUAUUUAAUUUUAAAUAUACAGUAAACUGCGAGUUGUAUAUGUUUUGUUGAUAUUAUUUAUAUUGUUUAGUGUUUAAAAUUAUACACUUGUAUUUUGAUUGUUAAUUUUAGAGUUUCACCUGUAGUAUACCAUCUUAUAUUAAUAUCAAUUUAAACCCGUCAAUUCUAGGGUUUUCCAGCUUGUAUUAAAAAUUGAAUCACAUCAUACACAUAAAAAAAUCUAAUAUGUUAUUAAUUAUUGUAGAAUAUAAGAUUAUAAAAU
This 543-nucleotide small RNA is filed under the name Arabidopsis thaliana (thale cress). RNAcentral describes it as "ATSL016740". Lineage: Eukaryota; Viridiplantae; Streptophyta; Magnoliopsida; Brassicales; Brassicaceae. The record is from RNAcentral.